RNAcentral lists this ribosomal RNA (410 nucleotides) under uncultured microorganism. RNAcentral's name for it is "bacterial SSU rRNA". It matches the Rfam family "Bacterial small subunit ribosomal RNA", at positions 509 to 917 of the family's 1533-position model. The record is from RNAcentral.
CAGCAGCCGCGGUAAUACGUAGGGUGCGAGCGUUAAUCGGAUUUACUGGGCGUAAAGCGUGCGCAGGCGGCCCGUUAAGACAGGUGUGAAAUCCCUGGGCUCAACCUAGGAAUUGCGCUUGUGACUGGCGGGCUCGAGUACGGUAGAGGGGGGUGGAAUUCCUGGGGUAGCAGUGAAAUGCGUAGGGAUCAGGAGGAACACCGAUGGCGAAGGCAGCCCCCUGGGCCUGUACUGACGCUCAUGCACGAAAGCGUGGGGAGCAAACAGGAUUAGAUACCCUGGUAGUCCACGCCCUAAACGAUGGGUACUAGCCGUUUGGUGCGCGAUAGCGCUGAGUGGCGAAGCUAACGCGUGAAGUACCCCGCCUGGGGAGUACGGCCGCAAGGUUGAAACUUAAAGGAAUUGGCGGG